AGUUUGAUUCUGGCUCAGGACGAACGCUGGCGGCGUGCUUAACACAUGCAAGUCGAACGGAGCUGUUUAUUUCGGUAGAUAGCUUAGUGGCAAACGGGUGAGUAACGCGUAGGCAACCUGCCCUUAGGAUGGGGACAACGGCCCGAAAGGACCGCUAAUACCGAAUGGACUCUAACUUUCGCAUGGAAGAAAGAGGAAAGAUGGUGCAAGCCAUCGCCGAAGGAAGGGCCUGCGCCUGAUUAGCCAGUUGGUGAGGUAACGGCCCACCAAAGCGACGAUCAGUAGCCGGUCUGAGAGGAUGAACGGCCACAAUGGGACUGAGACACGGCCCAUACUCCUACGGGAGGCAGCAGUGGGGAAUCUUCCGCAAUGGGCGAAAGCCUGACGGAGCAACGCCGCGUGAGUGAAGAAGGUCUUCGGAUCGUAAAGCUCUGUUGUCGGGGACGAAAGGGAAGGGGAGGAAAUGCCCUUUUAAGACG
Molecule: ribosomal RNA, 479 nt
Filed under: Schwartzia sp. canine oral taxon 042
Lineage: Bacteria; Bacillati; Bacillota; Negativicutes; Selenomonadales; Selenomonadaceae
Description: bacterial SSU rRNA
Rfam family: Bacterial small subunit ribosomal RNA
Source: RNAcentral